Molecule: ribosomal RNA, 208 nt
Filed under: uncultured bacterium
Lineage: Bacteria
Description: partial 16S ribosomal RNA
Rfam family: Bacterial small subunit ribosomal RNA
Source: RNAcentral
UGCGUAGGCGGCGCGGUAAGUCGGGUGUGAAAUCUCGGAGCUUAACUCCGAAACUGCAUUCGAUACUGCCGUGCUCGAGGACUGGAGAGGAGACUGGAAUUUACGGUGUAGCGGUGAAAUGCGUAGAUAUCGUAAGGAAGACCAGUGGCGAAGGCGGGUCUCUGGACAGUUCCUGACGCUGAGGCACGAAGGUCAGGGGAGCAAACGG